This 254-nucleotide ribosomal RNA is filed under the name uncultured bacterium. Its description in RNAcentral is "partial 16S ribosomal RNA". It matches the Rfam family "Bacterial small subunit ribosomal RNA", at positions 524 to 776 of the family's 1533-position model. The record is from RNAcentral.
UACGUAGGGGCCAAGCGUUGUCCGGAUUUAUUGGGCGUAAAGAGCUCGUAGGCGGUUGGGUAAGUCGGGUGUGAAAACUCCAGGCUCAACUUGGAGAUGCCACCCGAUACUGUUCUGACUUGAGUUCGGUAGGGGAGUGGGGAAUUCCUGGUGUAGCGGUGAAAUGCGCAGAUAUCAGGAGGAACACCGGUGGCGAAGGCGCCACUCUGGGCCGAAACUGACGCUGAGGAGCGAAAGCGUGGGGAGCGAACAGG